This 550-nucleotide ribosomal RNA is filed under the name uncultured bacterium. Its description in RNAcentral is "bacterial SSU rRNA". It matches the Rfam family "Bacterial small subunit ribosomal RNA", at positions 355 to 896 of the family's 1533-position model. The record is from RNAcentral.
UAGGGAAUCUUCGGCAAUGGGGGCAACCCUGACCGAGCAACGCCGCGUGAGUGAAGAAGGUUUUCGGAUCGUAAAGCUCUGUUGUAAGUCAAGAACGAGUGUGAGAGUGGAAAGUUCACACUGUGACGGUAGCUUACCAGAAAGGGACGGCUAACUACGUGCCAGCAGCCGCGGUAAUACGUAGGUCCCGAGCGUUAUCCGGAUUUAUUGGGCGUAAAGCGAGCGCAGGCGGUUAGAUAAGUCUGAAGUUAAAGGCUGUGGCUUAACCAUAGUACGCUUUGGAAACUGUUUAACUUGAGUGCAGAAGGGGAGAGUGGAAUUCCAUGUGUAGCGGUGAAAUGCGUAGAUAUAUGGAGGAACACCGGUGGCGAAAGCGGCUCUCUGGUCUGUAACUGACGCUGAGGCUCGAAAGCGUGGGGAGCAAACAGGAUUAGGUACCCUGGUAGUCCACGCCGUAAACGAUGAGUGCUAGGUGUUGGGUCCUUUCCGGGACUCAGUGCCGCAGCUAACGCAUUAAGCACUCCGCCUGGGGAGUACGACCGCAAGGNUG